This is a long non-coding RNA of Pleuronectes platessa (European plaice), 895 nucleotides long. RefSeq lists it as uncharacterized. The record is from RefSeq and is a predicted model, not a curated record. The transcript has 2 exons. Lineage: Eukaryota; Metazoa; Chordata; Actinopteri; Pleuronectiformes; Pleuronectidae.
UCUGAAGACCCAAGCCUCCCCUGUGUUUACGGGUGACGAUGUCACCUUGUGUUGUCAGCAUCAGAGCGGCAAACACAAACAAACCAGCUUCUUUAAAAACGGAGCAUUGAUUGACUCUAACAGUUCGUCCGGUUCAGACCGAGUCAUAAAGAUGACUCUUAAGAAUGUGACACGGGAAGAUGAAGGCUUCUACAGGUGUGCGUCCCACGUCAGACAACUGCAGAGUCCAGAGAGCUGGUUAUCAGUGAGACCGGACAGAGGUACCAGAAGUUCUGCACUUGGAGCUGCUGGCCAGUUUCCAAACAGGAAGUUCCAGCAGGGGUGCUUCCUGCCACCAAGUUGGAUGUGACGGAGGUGCAGUGGGACCUGUCCUGGAUGGAGAUGUCCAACCUGUUGGAAAAGGAUUCUUAUUGUGGCACUUAAAGGGAAACUCUCUUCUGAAGCCCAGAGAAAGUAUUAACUAUUGGGUCAAACCUAUGAGAAAGCUCAGUCAGUGCUGCAAUUUGUAGUAUUUGAUGGUCACAUGUCAAAAUAGUGCUGCCUGAUAUAUUUUUGAAUUGAAUUAAAUGAGAUGUUUAGGAUUUAUAAGGAUGACUACGUUUGCUGAUGGUGCAGAUUUGAUAGCUUCCAAUACAAAUGUUAUUGUUUCAGUUGUCACAUUUGUCAAUGUCAGUACUCUUGCACAUUUAAACGUCUCUCCUUUGAGUACAUUUUGAAACUAAGAAUCGUAUUUGUUAUAUCUUAUUAUCUAAUCAUUAAUAUAAUUGACUGUUCUAAAUCAUUUUACAUGUAUCAUUUCUCCUGUGUUUGUUCGAGGUUCCAUGUUGUUUGCUCCCUUUGAAUCGUUACUUGCUAUUUCUUGUCGUCUGAAGUUAUAAAAGUCAUGGAGAUCGUC